UCCGUAGGGGGCAAUCGUUGUCCGGAUUUAUUGGGAGUAAAGAGCGUGUAGGCGGUUUGGUAGGUCCGCUGUGAAAACUCGAGGCUCAACCUCGAGACGCCGGUGGAAACCAUCAGGCUAGAGUCCGGAAGAGGAGAGUGGAAUUCCUGGUGUAGCGGUGAAAUGCGCAGAUAUCAGGAAGAACACCCGUGGCUAAGGCGGCUCUCUAGUACGGUACUGACGCUGAGACGCGAAAGCGUGGGGAGCGAACAGG
This 253-nucleotide ribosomal RNA is filed under the name uncultured bacterium. RNAcentral describes it as "partial 16S ribosomal RNA". It matches the Rfam family "Bacterial small subunit ribosomal RNA", at positions 524 to 776 of the family's 1533-position model. The record is from RNAcentral.